GGGGAUUUAGCUCAGCGGCAUAAGCGCCUGCCUUGCAAGCAGGCAGUCGUGAGUUCAAUGCCCG
Molecule: transfer RNA, 64 nt
Organism: Cavia porcellus (domestic guinea pig)
Lineage: Eukaryota; Metazoa; Chordata; Mammalia; Rodentia; Caviidae
Rfam family: tRNA
About the family: Transfer RNA (tRNA) molecules are approximately 80 nucleotides in length. Their secondary structure includes four short double-helical elements and three loops (D, anti-codon, and T loops). Further hydrogen bonds mediate the characteristic L-shaped molecular structure. tRNAs have two regions of fundamental functional importance: the anti-codon, which is responsible for specific mRNA codon recognition, and the 3' end, to which the tRNAs corresponding amino acid is attached (by aminoacyl-tRNA synthetases). tRNAs cope with the degeneracy of the genetic code in two manners: having more than one tRNA (with a specific anti-codon) for a particular amino acid; and 'wobble' base-pairing, i.e. permitting non-standard base-pairing at the 3rd anti-codon position.
Source: Rfam